RNAcentral lists this ribosomal RNA (484 nucleotides) under uncultured bacterium. RNAcentral describes it as "partial 16S ribosomal RNA". It matches the Rfam family "Bacterial small subunit ribosomal RNA", at positions 29 to 507 of the family's 1533-position model. The record is from RNAcentral.
AUUGAACGCUAGCGGGAUGCUUUACACAUGCAAGUCGAACGGCAGCGCGGACUUCGGUCUGGCGGCGAGUGGCGAACGGGUGAGUAAUGUAUCGGAACGUGCCCAGUAGCGGGGGAUAACUACGCGAAAGCGUAGCUAAUACCGCAUACGUCCUACGGGGGAAAGCAGGGAAACGUAAGACCUUGCACAAUGGUUGCGGCCGAUAGCGGAGUAGCUAGUUGGUGAGGUAAGUUCUCAGCAAGGCGACGAACCGUGGCUGGUUUUAGAGGACGGCCAGACACACUGGGAUUGAGACACGGCCCAGACCACUACGGGAGGCAGCAGUGCGGUAUUUUGGACAAGGCAGGCAACCCUGAUCCAGCCAUCCCGCGUGUGGGAUGAAGGCCUUCGGGUUGGAAAGCAAAUUUGGCAGGAAAGAAACGUAGCGGGCUAAUACCCCGUGGAACUGACGGUACCUGAAGAAUAAGCGCCGGCUAACUCCGUG